This 250-nucleotide unclassified non-coding RNA is filed under the name Lecania sp. Its description in RNAcentral is "partial contains 5.8S ribosomal RNA, internal transcribed spacer 2, and large subunit ribosomal RNA". The record is from RNAcentral. Lineage: Eukaryota; Fungi; Ascomycota; Lecanoromycetes; Lecanorales; Ramalinaceae. RNAcentral also lists the same sequence under 1 other name.
AACGCACAUUGCGCCCUUUGGCAUUCCGAAGGGCAUGCCUGUUCGAGCGUCAUUAUCAACCCUCAAGCCCGGCUUGCAGUUGAGCCCUAGCCCGUGACAGGGCUGGCUCGAAAGACAGCGGCGGAGUCGGACGGACCCCGGAUGCAACGAGCUUUCCAAGCGCGCAUCACGGCGGGCCGCCUGGCCCCGGCCUCGAAACCCCUUUAUCAAGGUUGACCUCGGAUCAGGUAGGGAUACCCGCUGAACUUAA